GGAGGCGUCGCAUAGUGGUCUAGUGCGCUUGCUUGGAAAGCAAGUAUACUCGCAAGGGUAUCAAGAGUUCGAAUCUCUUCGCCUCCGCCA
RNAcentral lists this transfer RNA (90 nucleotides) under Rickettsiales bacterium. Its description in RNAcentral is "tRNA-Ser". It matches the Rfam family "tRNA". From Rfam's summary of the family: Transfer RNA (tRNA) molecules are approximately 80 nucleotides in length. Their secondary structure includes four short double-helical elements and three loops (D, anti-codon, and T loops). The record is from RNAcentral. Lineage: Bacteria; Pseudomonadati; Pseudomonadota; Alphaproteobacteria; Rickettsiales.